This 329-nucleotide unclassified non-coding RNA is filed under the name uncultured Ascomycota. RNAcentral's name for it is "sequence contains ITS1". The stretch from base 1 to 106 matches the Rfam family "5.8S ribosomal RNA", at positions 50 to 154 of the family's 154-position model. Lineage: Eukaryota; Fungi; Ascomycota. The record is from RNAcentral.
GAAAUGCGAUAAGUAAUGCGAAUUGCAGAAUUUCCGUGAGUCAUCGAAUCUUUGAACGCACAUUGCGCCCAUUGGUAUUCCGAUGGGCAUGCCUGUUCGAGCGUCAUUAUCCCCCCUCAAACCCUUGGGUUUGGUGUUGGACCCGAGUUGUUCUCCGUUUCGGUUGAACAACUGGUCUCAAAGACAAUGACGGCGUCCGUGGGACCCUCGGUGCAACGAGCUUCUAAGGAGCACGCGUCGAGUUUCAAGGACCUUCCGGGCCGGUCUUCCUAGCAAAACUGCUCUCUAAGGUUGACCUCGGAUCAGGUAGGAAUACCCGCUGAACUUAA